This is a non-coding RNA of Ictidomys tridecemlineatus (thirteen-lined ground squirrel), 460 nucleotides long. Lineage: Eukaryota; Metazoa; Chordata; Mammalia; Rodentia; Sciuridae. The record is from RefSeq and is a predicted model, not a curated record.
UCUUUCUUCUUCUUAAGUGGGUCCAUGAGGCGCAGCGUGUCUCUGAUCACAGCCACUUUCACCUCCUCAUCCACAAGGCUGGGGACAUUUUCGAACACCCCUGGAGAAAGCUUGAAUGGCAGGAUUCGAGAAUGGGACUUCACAAGAGAUCAAUGCCAGCCUCCCAGGACCUUCCACGGAGCCCUUCGUGCAACUGUGACCUUGACGCUUAUGUAGUUAUUUAAUAUUCAUCCAAAGCAUUCAUACACGUGGCACUUUACAGUAAAUAUGAGAGUCCUGGACAAAUGGCAGUUAUGGAUCAGGAAGUGAAAAAUGUCAAGUUUGCACUGAUGGCUAAUUUUUCCCUCUGGAAAGCAUUUGCUGAGCCAAAGAUACUAACAGCUCAAUAUAUUAUGAGGAGCGAUAUUUUCUCCUUUGAAUUCAGUGUAUAUGCCUUAAAUAAAUUAAACUGCCUGGUCAA